Molecule: transfer RNA, 91 nt
Filed under: Bacteroidia bacterium
Lineage: Bacteria; Pseudomonadati; Bacteroidota; Bacteroidia
Description: tRNA-Ser
Rfam family: tRNA
About the family: Transfer RNA (tRNA) molecules are approximately 80 nucleotides in length. Their secondary structure includes four short double-helical elements and three loops (D, anti-codon, and T loops). Further hydrogen bonds mediate the characteristic L-shaped molecular structure. tRNAs have two regions of fundamental functional importance: the anti-codon, which is responsible for specific mRNA codon recognition, and the 3' end, to which the tRNAs corresponding amino acid is attached (by aminoacyl-tRNA synthetases). tRNAs cope with the degeneracy of the genetic code in two manners: having more than one tRNA (with a specific anti-codon) for a particular amino acid; and 'wobble' base-pairing, i.e. permitting non-standard base-pairing at the 3rd anti-codon position.
Source: RNAcentral
GGAGAGGUGCAGGAGCGGUUGAACUGGCACGCCUGGAAAGCGUGUGUACCCCUAAAGGGUACCGAGGGUUCGAAUCCCUCUCUCUCCGCAA